RNAcentral lists this ribosomal RNA (253 nucleotides) under uncultured bacterium. RNAcentral describes it as "partial 16S ribosomal RNA". It matches the Rfam family "Bacterial small subunit ribosomal RNA", at positions 524 to 776 of the family's 1533-position model. The record is from RNAcentral.
UACGGGGGGAGCAAGCGCUGUUCGGAUUUACUGGGCGUAAAGGGCGCGUAGGCGGCGUGACAAGUCACUUGUGAAAUCUCCGGGCUUAACUCGGAACGGUCAAGUGAUACUGUCGUGCUAGAGUACAGAAGGGGCAACUGGAAUUCUCGGUGUAGCGGUGAAAUGCGUAGAUAUCGAGAGGAACACCUGCGGCGAAGGCGGGUUGCUGGGCUGAUACUGACGCUGAGGCGCGGAAGCCAGGGGAGCGAACGGG